AGUGCAGUGUAAAUAAAUGAAUGCCAUAGUUAUAGAAAAUAAGAACUAUAUAACCUAUCGAGGUUGCCCUUUUGUUCUUUUUCUUUUCUUGCAAUCUCAUUUAUCCACACAACCCUGAACAGCACUAUAACCCUCAUUUUAGCUCUUUCUUCCUCCCUUCUUUUCUUUUUCUUUUUCUUCUAGCAACUGAGCAAUCUAGAACUCAGAGAUGUAAAAUAAUGUUCCCAGCAUCACACAGUGCAGGUGAGAACCCAGCAAAAGAAGGCAGAGACACCUGCUUCUCCGACACCUGGUAUCAUGCCUCCUCAAUUAUCUUAGCACUCUGCACACAUGCGGUCCUAAGUUUGCCUGUGACAUUUAUGACUUGCAAUGGAAAGCUUGGCUCACAGUUUCACACUUCGCAGAGAAACAAUCACACAGAGCAGUCACCAGGAGAGAAGGGUUUAACACCAAGGGAAGAAAGGAAAGGAGGAACAAGAAGAGUCUUUCAAAUGAUAAUGAGGGCAAUUACCACAGACUGUUUUAUAUGGAGGGGUGAUGCAAGACAUAAUUUGAGCUUGCAAGGAAAUAAGUUAUUGCAAAAAUAAACAAACUGUACAAAGAAGGGUUUAAGAGAUAAACUCCAGGGACUUCCACUUCUGGCAGCUGAAGUAACAAGGAAGCAAUUCACCUUCCUGAAACAACCAACCAACAAACAAAAACAGAAAAAUAUAUGAAAUCACUAUUUUCAAACCACUAGAUAUCAGAAAACAAAAGUCAAUAAUCUCAAAGAUGGAAAGCAGAAAAAGUAAACCCUACAACUGCUCCAGGUCAUAGCUUGAAAGAGAUUCAAGGUCACGGGUCAAGAAAAGGGAACCCAGGCAGAGCCUCACAGAGUAACUACACUGAGUUGAAGAGACAGAGCUGAACAUCCUGUAAGACCAAAGUAAAUAGACUGUAAGACAGAGAAAGCUGCCCAGAGAGAGAAAUCUGCAGAUCUGCAGAGUCCACCUCAAGAAUUCAGCAGAGUCCACAUCAGCACAUGCUUGUGAGGAAACUUCUCGAAAGUAGGUUAUGCCUUAACCCUGGACAGCUGAUAUGGUGACUGAUGUGAACAAGGCAGGCAUCCAAAGGAGCAGCUGUUUUCUCCUAACCUGGUGCAACUCUGAUGGGCAGUAUUCACUGCAGAGCUCCCUGCCAGCUUGGCUGUAGCACACUGUUGGGACCAUUACAAAUGUUUACUUCCACUCUGCUCAAUCCUGCCUCCACCCCCUUCCUUUCACAAGUAUUGAUCCCUAAUAAACAUAUGCACAUCAAACGUUGUCA
RNAcentral lists this long non-coding RNA (1305 nucleotides) under Vulpes vulpes (red fox). RNAcentral's name for it is "lncRNA (ENSVVUG00000006928.1)". Lineage: Eukaryota; Metazoa; Chordata; Mammalia; Carnivora; Canidae. The record is from RNAcentral.